UACGUAGGGGGCAAGCGUUGUCCGGAAUCAUUGGGCGUAAAGCGUGUGUAGGCGGCCCGUUAAGUGUCUUGUGAAAUCCCCCGGCUCAACCGGGGAACUGCUGGGCAUACUGGCGGGCUUGGGUCGCUCAGGGGCAGACGGAACAGGCGGUGGAGCGGUGAAAUGCGUAGAUAUCGCCUGGAACGCCGAAGGUGAAAACAGUCUGCUGGGGGCGCACCGACGCUGAGACACGAAAGCCAGGGGAGCGAACGGG
This 253-nucleotide ribosomal RNA is filed under the name uncultured bacterium. RNAcentral's name for it is "partial 16S ribosomal RNA". It matches the Rfam family "Bacterial small subunit ribosomal RNA", at positions 524 to 776 of the family's 1533-position model. The record is from RNAcentral.